This 549-nucleotide ribosomal RNA is filed under the name uncultured Glomeromycotina. RNAcentral's name for it is "SSU rRNA". It matches the Rfam family "Eukaryotic small subunit ribosomal RNA", at positions 548 to 1098 of the family's 1831-position model. Lineage: Eukaryota; Fungi; Glomeromycota. The record is from RNAcentral.
UUGGAGGGCAAGUCUGGUGCCAGCAGCCGCGGUAAUUCCAGCUCCAAUAGCGUAUAUUUAAGUUGUUGCAGUUAAAAAGCUCGUAGUUGAAUUUCGGGAUCAAUAUGUCGGUCGUGCCUUCGGUACGUACUGGUAUCAUUGGUCUCUCCUUUCUGACGAACCAUGAUGUCAUUAAUUUGGUGUUAUGGGGAGUUAGGACUGUUACUUUGAAAAAAUUAGAGUGUUUAAAGCAGGCUUUAGCUUGAAUACAUUAGCAUGGAAUAAUGAAAUAGGACGUUCGAACCUAUUUUGUUGGUUUCUAGGAUCAACGUAAUGAUUAAUAGGGGUAGUUGGGGGCAUUAGUAUUCAAUUGUCAGAGGUGAAAUUCUUGGAUUUAUGAAAGACUAACUACUGCGAAAGCAUUUGCCAAGGAUGUUUUCAUUAAUCAAGAACGAAAGUUAGGGGAUCGAAGACGAUCAGAUACCGUCGUAGUCUUAACCAUAAACUAUGCCGACUAGGGAUCGGAUGAUGUUAAUUUUUUAAUGACUCAUUCGGCGCCUUACGGGAAAC